GCUACUAUCUGAAAUUAUAGAGGGGGUGAAUUGAACUUUUUCUUUUGUGAGUUGACUAUUGACCCUUCAUAGUCUACGCCUGCAGAUCAGAACACUUUACAAACAAAUUAAAUUCAAAAUAGUUAAGCAAGAAAACAAUAAAAAGUAAAGUAAUAACACAAAGAUUUAUCCUGAUUCGGUAUACCAAUGUAGUUCCUACGUUCAGUCCCCUUGGGUUUCAAAGUUUCCUUAGAUCGUUGAAAGUUUGGCUCGAGUACAAUGAUAGAAAAUAAGUUUCGAAGACUUAUUUUGCCCUUCAGAUCUUGUGAUACAACAUCAAUUGAUGUUACAAAGUUGACUCGAUCCUACUCUUUAUAACAAUUGUAAACUAAAUUUACAGAGCUUUGUAAGACUAAGAAUGAGACACUUUGAAUUUUCUCCUGGAAGUUGUGUAACUAGUGUCUGUCUUUGGUCUUCUUCUUUUAUAGUCUUCGGUUGCUACUUGUAAUAAGGAAACCUAGGAGAUUUCUUCACAAUCAAGGAUUUAAAUUGAUUCCUUGAUCGAGGAAAGUAGUCGUUUGAUGUUUCCAUCUUAGAUAUGUCCAUAUAAGGCUUUGGAUCACGUCCAUAUCAGAUAUGUUCGUGAUCUCUCAUUCCUUUUAGUUUUGAUGUCCAUGUGACAUUUGUCUUCUUUCUUCUUUUAUUUAGAUCCUGAUUGAUUUUCUAACUGAUCUAAUCUACCGUGAUUAUGGGAUGGUGAUUCUCUAUUCAUUUCUAAGAUAUUAAUUUGCUUGCCAUGCUUGUUUGAGUGUCGUGAUCUUCUUAUAACUGGAUGUCCUUCCUUUCCUAGAAGUCUUUAAUAUCUCACUUCCUUUAUUAUUUUACCAUCAGCAAUAUUCUAGUAUCUUUCAUCCUUUUUACUGCAAGGAUUCAUUUGUUAGUUUGUCAUUAUUAAAAGUUUACCUAAGGAGACUAACAAUCUCCCUCUUUUUGAUAAUGACAAACUUAAACAUCAGUUGACUUCCCUGUCUAUUUAGCUCCCCCUGUCUUACUGUCAUGGUGGUUGUAGUUGGCUCUGAUGUGAUGAUGGUCGACUUAGUUCCUCAUUUAAUUAACUGAUACAACUACUGUGCAACUUCUCCCUCUUUUGUCAUAAUACAAAAGGACAGAGCAAACAUAGCAAAGAGAAUAGCCCCAUCCACAAAAUAAAACAAAAAGGAAAGCAAGCCAAAAAUGACAACCCAAAAAGCAUAUAGUUUUAGACAUACAUAGUUAUGGUGACAACAAAAAUAUGUCAGAGAAGGAAUAUGAGUGUCUUUAUAUAGGCUAAAGUAUAAGAAGGGACAAACCUCCUUUUGAAUAAAAAAUGUUCAGCAACAUUUGACAAGGAAAUAAGUAAGAGUGUUGUGCACGUCAGAGCAGAAGCGAUCAUAAAAUUUCUCCACACUCUUGGUGAAGUUGGAGUAAGAAUUCUGAAUGGAGAUGGCAAGAUCAUUUGAGGAGGACGAGGAUUCAUACUUGAUGGACUCAACUUGAGAGAACAUCCUGUUAAACAAUUUCACCCCUUCCUAUUUGAAGCCAUCAAGGGAGAGUCGUACUUUACCUAUGUCGGUACCUGUCUCUUUUCCCUGCUGCAACAGCUUGGUAGUCGACUCCUUGAUGCUGGCUAUUCCUUCCUCGAUGUAAGUGAGCCUGAUCUUUAUUUCUUCAGCCUCUUUAUUUGUAUAAGACAUGGAUUUAGGAACAAGUUUACUUUUCCUGGAUGUGUCAGGUCGGCUCUUGACAGAUUCCUUUUUACACCAUUCUUUUUCAACCAAAACAUAUCCCAUGCUUGUGAAGGUUUUUAAAUUAUAGGUGGCAAAGACUUCUACCACUGGAUAGGCUGAAAGAUCAAUUCCACAGUGAAUAAAAAUAUGAGUGAUGAGCAACCUUAGGGUAAGCUUGAUGAGUCAUGGGAGUCAGUUGCACUUUCUAUCAUGUAUUCGCGAAUCCAGGCACUCCAAUUGAUUUUGUACAUUUUCAUCUAGUAGUAGAGAACAAAUACAUCUUUUCAAGUCAUAUUACUAAGAGAUCCCUGUUGAGGAAUUAAGGUGAUUGCAACAAUAUAAGCUAAAAUCUAUUGCAAAAAUUGAGGGACAGAGGAUAAAAGGUGAGGUUGUUCGUGUCAUGAUCUGAGACAGCCUUCUUUACUUCAUCAAAACUAAUUUCAAAAUUCUCAAGCCAGGUGUCGUUCAUGAAAGGGAUGACGCUAGAGAAUUUAGUGUCAAAAACUUUCUCAAAUAAGAAGUCAUUUAGAACAAUAGAGUACCAAGAAUCAGAGUUUCCAAUUCCCCACUGUCAGGGAAAAGACAAAGAUUGGUGAAAAACAUGCGGAUGGGAUCUUCAAAAAUUUUAAGGCCACAUAGGCGAAGCAUCAUCGACAAGUCUUGAGUUUUGAGAAAGUGUCUGAUAUUGCAGUGGGAUUCCAUUAGAAAAGAGAGAUUGAUGACUCAUCCAGAAACAAUGGAGCUAUUCUUGAAAGUGAGGAACUUCUCCUUGUGAGAGAGAGUCCAAAACUUAUGCAUAUCCUCUGAAGGGAGAGACUCUAGAGGAGAGGCUCUCCAUUUGAUAGAGGAUGACAUGGGACGAGGAGUGAAGCAUUUCUUGGACAUAGUCGAGUGGAUAGAGUGAGAGGAGUCUUCAUUAGAGGUUUCAGAGAGAAGGACAGGGUCAAAGUUGGAGGAAUUUAGGGUAGGGGAAAUUUUGGAGAGAUUAGACAUUGAUCGUAUGUUUUUCAUAGUGGAGAGUGAAAGGGAAUCGAUGGGUAUAAAAGGAAGAAAAGAAGUGGAAAAGAUAGGAUCAAGGAGGAGAGCCAAGGGUUAGGGUUGAAUAUGAAGGGACGGAGGGGUGUUAGAAAGAAAAAGGACAGAUAAGGUAAUGAUGAAGGGAGAGAAAAAGGUGGCAUGAGAGGGGGAAUAUUUGAAAGGAAAGGACGGAAGGUCAGAAGGCAAUUGACAAUUUUUUGUACCAAGAAAAAUUAAGAAAUCUUUUAGAGAAUCGAUAAUAUAUAUGGCACCGAGUUUUUCUACAAACAAAAUCCUAAUCAAUAAGAAAAAUAUAUAAUUUUUGGGAAAAAAAAAAGAACCAAGUAAAAAUAUUGUGACAAAAAAUAUGACUCAUGGGUUAUUAAAGUUGAAUCCUUUUGAAGAUCUUCCUUUUAGUAAAAAUAAAAUUGGACUAAGUAAAAUGAUUUGCAUCCAAAAAUAUGAUUCACAAAAUACUGACACCAAAUCUUUUUUUGAGAAAUCAAGUUUUUUGAUAAGAUCUAAUUUUCUUCAAGAUCAUGGACAACAAAGUUUGUAAAGCUAACAAUAAGAUACACCGAAUAAUUUGAAUGGAAAAUCAACAUAACAUUACCACAUGUUCUCAGGAUAACCUCAAGAGACAGAUUAAAAUCACAAAAUUCAGAGAAUUUAAGUACAACAACUUCCAAGAGUUAUGCAUAUUGCUCCGGUUGCUGAAGAAUCAACUGAAUUUUUUUCCUUGCUAAUCCAUGAGUUUGGGAUAUUCAUGGGACGAAGCUUUCAUCUAAAUGGAAAAAAUUCUCGUCAAGGAUUUUAUUGAUGUCAGUGCCUUCUGCCUUUAUUUCUAUUUGAAGAGUUUACUCUGAAGGGGGCAUAGUCGACUUCCGAAGACAUUGCCUCCAUCAUUGUCACUGAAUUUGACAGUUUUUUUGUCUAUAUUUUGUACAAACAGAUGAGACCUUUUUCGUUCCAACUAUACUUCUGGAACAUCCCCUAUUGAUCCCUAGAAUUUGCGGACAAGUUCCUGCAAAACAAGAAGAUUAAUUCUGAAUAGGUACCCAAGCGGUCUUGGGUCCUUGUAGGUUAGAUGUCUUUUCUUUGGGUUUCCAAACCCACAUACUUUUAGGCUUAUGCAACUGUAGGAUUUGUGCCUUCUUUGUCCACAAAUGAAACAAAUGAGCCCUUGAUAGGAGAUAGAGUUCUUAGUUGAUUUAAAUGACCCUGAUGAGGAACUCAAAUAGUUUUUGAAAGAGUUUGACCCUACGAAACUGUCUUGGAGAUGACUUAAAAUUGUUUAAUUUUAGUUUUGUCUUAUCAAUCUUUUCAUUGAGUAGGUCAAUCUCAAUUUGACAUGCCUCAAUUUCUAUUUUCCAGUUUCGUCGUGCCUCUUCCAAUUUUCGUUUAAGUCAAGCUUUGCAACUUUUCUUCUCUUGAGCAAGUUUGUUAUAUUCAUCUAUAACUUUUUAAAGCUUGUCGAUAAUCAUAUCUAAGUUAGAUUCAAGAGUGUUACAAUUAUAGCUAUCGUGUAGUCUUAUCUCGCAAGUCCUAAGGCUAGGUGGGGGGAUCAUUAUCAUCAUCGUCCAAGUCAUAGUAGGGCCCCAAGUGGUACUCUAAGGACCCAUCCGAUUGAUGCCCCUAGUGAUCUUCAUUUUCCUCGCCACCGAACCCUAUUGGUCCAUAUUUUUUUCUUCGAGGUCUUAUUUCUUCUCUUCUGUCAGCUCCCCUUUUUGUUCCUCCAUCGGAUCCUCUUUCGGAUCUUUCUCAAGGUCUUCUUCGGGGUCUUUUUCCAUUUUCUCCUUGGGGUCUUCUUUCAUUCCCCUUCGAAUUCAUCGUCUACUGCAUGGAUGAGAUGAUCCGCUGAUCCUAGGAUCACCUGCUUGUACAUGGCGGUGGUCACGAGCCUAAGGUGCAAUAGCUGGUCUUGGAUCUGAUUUGCUCUAUGAGUAUUUGCAAGCCCUUGGAGUGACUCAUAGCUCGAUCGGGACAAAAUUCCUCCCAAUAUAUACCAUGUGUAGUACUCAGGGGUGCAGUAUGGAUUGCCGUUCAUGCCCAAACUAAAGAUUUGUCACCAUCUAUUAAUCAAAUUGUCGAGCCUCUCAAUGGGAAUUUUUCCCUCAUAGUCUCCUUCUGCUAACGCCAUAUCCAACCAUAGAGGCUCAUUAUAAAUCAUGCCGAACUAUCGUAGAACUCUCAAUGGCGCAUAUGGCUGGAUCCCCUCCAAGCUAAUUAACUUAAGGAAGUAAUAGUAAUGCCUUCUCAGCAUUACUCAACCGCUAACCCAUGGUAGCCUCCACUGGAUGAGGUUAUUGGUGAGGUGGGUUAAGAAGGCACACCACUACUCCUCAUUAUUUGGCAUGUCCCAUAUAGCUACCCUAAGUGUGUGGCUACGAAUCUGGUUGAACCCCGUCUCCCUGAUGCUAUCUCUGAAACAAAAGUGUUCUAAUGCCCAUACUUGGAGUAUUAGAUUGCAACAUCUAAAGAAAUCAUACCCUCCAGAACAUACAGACAGUGAUCGAAAGACUUUAAUUAAAAUCAUCAGUACAAUCGUAACUCGGAUUGGUCCCUGCGCAUAAAUAUGGUCAUAGAAAGAAAGUAAGUGAAUGUUGAUUUGGUCCCCUCUUAUUGGGAAUACCAUAACACCGAGGAAUGCCACCAUGAAAACAAUGUCUCUGUGUCUCUCCCAGCCGAUCCUGGUUAAGAAGAAUUCAUCCUGAAAUCAGUCAUAGCUCUUCCUCCAACCGAACCUCUCAAAAAGAUAACUCAGGCUUACCCAGCCUGCCUCAACCAUCCUCAAACCUGUGCCAACUCUCAAUCCUAUUGCGCGAAGGAAAUCGCUCCAUUAAGUAGUGUGUGGGGUCAAAGGUACUCGCCUCGUCAAUGGCAAGUUAGCUAUAUGACUGAUCUCCUCUAAGGUAGGUGUAAUCUCAAAAUCUGUAAACCUAAAAGUGACUAUAGUCGGGUCCUAGAAUUCGACCAGCAAUAGGAUAAGCAACUCGUCCAUCCUUAACUCUAUUAGAUCAGUCAAGGACCCCAAAUGUACCAAUACUUCCUCCCCGUGGGCUACUUAGAUGUUGCCCCACAGUGUUUUAGGCUCUGUGGAACAUCGGUCAACAUGCGGAUGUUAGCUAGGUUCUGGUUAAUUUCCAUCCGUGCAAAGAAAAGGCAAGGUAAGUUUAAUGUCCUGAAUUCAUUACGAUCUUAACAUUUGGAUCAAUUAGUCAUUUUCACACAUAUAGCGUCGUUGGGUUCAUGAAGAAACCGUUGACACAAAGGGUGGUUCUCUAAAUGCGGAAAUGAUACCUUGGACCAUUACGCCUAAGGUAUAUGCAAUAUGAUCUAUUACUAGAGUAGAAUUUUUUCCUAAAUUUUUAAGAGUGGGACUGAAUAGUUGCGAGAUGGUACACUAACCUAAUUGCACUGCCUCUGAAACUAAGGAAUCCAAAGAAGGUUUGAAAGAGUGCAGUACACUCCUCGCGUGUUCAGUGUGUGAAUUGUGUACGACCAAAACUCGAUAAAAAGAGUACAAGUUAUAAAGUAGUAUCAAAUAGUGUUGUCCAAACAAGUAAAGAACGCAAGUUUGGAUUUGGCUUGCAUCCUUUCGCAGAAAGCAUGGUAUAAAGACAGGUAAAGCAAAUAACAUAAUAAAAGCACGAAAAUUCUAAACUAAGCAUGUUAAGGUUAAAACCUAAGUUCAUUAAUUCCCCAGCAGAGUCGCCAGUCUAUCGCGCCCUAUUUUAAAUUGGUCAAAACAGCACACAACGUAUGGUGAUGUGUCGUGACUCUUGGGUUUAGAAAAUUCAUUUUUAGAGUCGACACCUAACUUUUUAGAAAAAUUAGGAAAAAUUAUUUUUUUUAUUGUAGAACUCUAUUUUAGUCUAUCGAAAAUAUUUGAGAUUAUGAAUAAGGAUUUUGGUUAUUCGAGGGGAAGGUGUUAGGUACCCCUCAGAGCUUAUCUGAAGAUAGUCCUUACACUUAGUUUUAGGAAAAAAUUAUUGCUUCAUUAUUUGCUAAAAAGGGGUGAUAAGAAAUCCUUUUUGUACAUAUUUUUAUUAUUGUUAUAUUGUUUAUGAAAAAAGGAAAGAAAUUUAGGGUACAGUAAACGUGCCGCUACCGUGCCCGAGGAGGUAAUAUCAUCAUUAAAACAUGGAAAGAAGUAAUCUCUUUGUUAUAAUUGUAAUGAUUAAAAAUAUUAAACCUUGUUAUCUUUAAAGUGCAUGGGGUGAAUGUACGAAUAAAAUUUAUCAUAAGAUAAAAGAACUAUUCUAAAACUUUGAAAGAAUCUCUUGAAGACGGGCGAAAAAUAUAGAAACAUUUAGAAAUAUGAUAAUCUAAUAACGAUAACGAUAAUAAUAAUAAUAAUAAUAACAACGAUAAUAAUAAUAAUAGCGAUGAUGACGAUAAUAAUGAAAUUAAAUUAGAUAAAUAUUAAUGACAAUAUUAGUAAUGAGCAAUACUAAUAAUGAUGAAAAUAACUAUUAUAAUAGUAGUGAAAAUAAUAAGAUAUACCUUGUAUACAGUAGCGUAACACAUAUAUACCUUGUGUUUUUGGGAACUUUUAAAAUCUGAAAGAACUUGAAAUAAUGUGAAGAAAUAAAUAAGGGAAAUAGCGAAUGAAAAUUGCCCUUUUUCAAUUGGCCAGUGAAUUACUUGUAAACCUUUUUGUAUUGGAUUUUUAAAAACCCCAAACUUUCCUUUUAUUCUAAUAGAUUUUCUCUGUGGGCACAAAAGUAUAAACAUAUGAAUAUUAGAUAAUUUACCGUUAUUAUAUUGUUAACGACCUAGUGAACAUGAUAUUGAACGGACCAGGUCAAUUCUAGGUGAUUUGAGAUUUGUACAGAACUAGAUAAAGUAAAAUUAAUCACUUUCAAUCAAUCCUCACAAAUAACAUAUUCGAAGUAAUAACCCAUCACAAUAAUAUGCUAAACUAUUUUUAUAUGUAUAUAUAAGGCGAGCUUUUAUUUGAAACUUCAAUCUCGAGUUCACAUGUAAAAGAAAUAAGGAGUUAGAAAAUGAUUCAAGUUCUACUAAAUGAAUGAACAUGAAAUAAAAAAUAACAAAGACAUGAGUUUAUAAUACAUGUAAAUAACCAUCAAAAAGCGAACACGUUACCAUACAUGGAACGAUGCGUGCACCCACGAAUGUGUUCUUCUAAUCUAAUUUUAGGCAAGGUUAUAAAAAGGGGUAAUGCUAAAUUUGCAGAGUUAUCACAACUUUAACCAUAUUUUUUAUAUUUGCAGAGAGAAAUCAUGGCACUAAUUAAGGAGCGAUUAACAAUUCUAAAGGUGAAGAUUAGGUGGCUUGUAAGACUAAUAUUCACUUAGCCAUGCUUAUAUGUUUAUCAUGCACAUAUUUUCAUGAUUCCUAGAUACAUUUCAUAUCUUAUAGAUCUAGGCAUGUGAAUAAUCUUUAUCACUGCACACAUACAAUUAAUAGUGGCUCUCAACUAACUUCUCAGCAGAUAUACCAUCACUAGGCAAGGAAUGUGCUUUUACUAAAUGUUCAUCAUCCUCUUUGUAAAAUAUAUUUAUUUUAAAGAAACUGACAGAUAUAGGAUGCUAUAUCCUAACUUUGGCAGAUUAAUAUAAAACUACACUUAAACUUGAAAUCCAACAACAAAGAAUUAAACUAAAACAUACAAUUGGACUUGAAAACAAACAACAUGGGACUUGAAAACAAGAAGUAAAGGGAGAUCAAUUUCCACAUAACCAUACACCAUGUAAAGACUAAAUCAAAGAUAGAUAUUUCACACCUCACGUAGCUUGAACUCAAAACAACCAUGUAUUAAAAUAAUUUAAGACAAAAAAUAUAUUUUAAACUCGAUUCACGAAGGUCGAGAAAGGAGUUUCAACAUCGCUGCUCACGACGGGAUCAAAACAGUAAACCAGGGGAAUCAAAUAUCUAUCAACAAGUUUCUUUAAACUUUAGUUUGUAAAAUAGGCAGCGACUCUAAUUGAGUAGCCACGUAUAUCCCAUAAUUCCGCAAAUAAACCGUACUCACGAAUUUGAUUUGUAGGUAAAAAAAAUAUUUUCAAGACUAAAUUUGGACCGUAUUUUUGACAUGGUUGCAGACUUAGAGACACACCAAAAUAGAUUUUGAGAAAAAAUUUAUCAUCAACACUCUUAUUUGCAGCAUCAAAACAACAACAACAACAACACUCACAAUCAAAAAUGGAUUCGGCAUUCACAAAACCAGAACGUAAAAUAGUCAUACUUUCAUCUGUAAUACCCAAAACAACGGCAACAAUGCCAUAACCAGAAUCAAAACUAAAGAACGACAUACGUUUUAGGUCCCUAGUUUUAUAUAGGCAGACAUAAUAUCAAGUGUAGACGCAAAUACUUGUUUAAACAGGCAUGACCAUAACAACAAAAUUUAAUGACAAAACUGCAUGUCCCAAAAAAAACAAGAUGAAGAGAAGAUAGAGCAAAAGGGUGAAUUCAUACCUUGUAUUGCGCAGCAAAUUGAGGCUCCGACGGCAAGGCUUCGGCAACAAACAAAACCCAAAACUCGGACUGACCCCUCUUCUUUUUGUUUUACUUUUCUCUUCCUCUGAGAUUUAAACUUUCCCAAACCUCUUUUGCCCCUCCAAAAAACCUCCCUUCUAUCUAAUUUCUUUUUUUUUCUUUUAAGAUCAAUUGCCUUUUCUCUCCGACUUUCUUCCUAUUUUCCUCAAUGCUAAUUCUUUUUCCUCUAACACAAAUUUUUCCUUUCUUCCCCAAUCUCUCGCUGCUACUCCUGAGAAUGGAAAUUUUUGGGCUAUUUAUAGCCAAAAUUUGGACUGUAAAGUCUAGACUCAAAACACAUUUUAUGGAGAUGAGAUUUGAAUUCAAAAAUUAUGACGUCGAUCUACAAAUUUCAGCCACUAUCAAGCUUUAGUUGCGAAUUCAAAGAAAGUUUCCAUUGUUGCAUGAAUUAGGGACUGACUUUCUCUGAUUUUUGGCGAUUUACGGGCUUGGGGGUGAUGAAAAUGGAAGAUUCGCAUGGGUAGGUGGCAGGCGGUGGUGACGCAGCCUAAACUCUAGGUCUCCGAUUUGAGGGGUGGUGGCGGAGAGGGGUGAGGGAGAGAGGAGGAGAGGUGGGUCAUCCAUGGUUGCGUUUUGCAAAAUAGAUG
This 9871-nucleotide long non-coding RNA is filed under the name Capsicum annuum. Its description in RNAcentral is "long non-coding RNA (CANN_LNC008136)". Lineage: Eukaryota; Viridiplantae; Streptophyta; Magnoliopsida; Solanales; Solanaceae. The record is from RNAcentral.